GAGGUUUUAUUUUAAUUAAAAAUUUUAAACUGUAGAUUUAGAGAUUAUUGCCUUG
This 55-nucleotide transfer RNA is filed under the name Aphelenchoides besseyi. RNAcentral's name for it is "tRNA-Tyr". The record is from RNAcentral. Lineage: Eukaryota; Metazoa; Nematoda; Chromadorea; Rhabditida; Aphelenchoididae.